This 687-nucleotide small RNA is filed under the name Pan troglodytes (chimpanzee). RNAcentral describes it as "retained intron". Lineage: Eukaryota; Metazoa; Chordata; Mammalia; Primates; Hominidae. The record is from RNAcentral.
UUUCUACUCUCUUUUCAGAGCUCAGAGGGUACUUCUCCAGCUCAGCAACAGGUAGCUCUGCUUGAUCUUCAGAGUGCUUUAUUCUGCAGCCAACUUGAAAUACAGAAGCUCCAGAGGGUGGUACGACAGAAAGAGCGCCAACUGGCUGAUGCCAAACAAUGUGUGCAAUUUGUAGAGGCUGCAGCACACGAGAGUGAACAGCAGAAAGAGGCUUCUUGGAAACAUAACCAGGAAUUGCGAAAAGCCUUGCAGCAGCUACAAGAAGAAUUGCAGAAUAAAAGCCAACAGCUUCGUGCCUGGGAGGCUGAAAAAUACAAUGAGAUUCGAACCCAGGAACAGAACAUCCAGCACCUAAACCAUAGUCUGAGUCACAAGGAGCAGUUGCUUCAGGAAUUUCGGGAGCUCCUACAGUAUCGAGAUAACUCAGACAAAACCCUUGAAGCAAAUGAAAUGUUGCUUGAGAAACUUCACCAGCGAAUACAUGAUAAAGCUGUUGCUCUGGAGCGGGCUAUAGAUGAAAAAUUCUCUGCUCUAGAAGAGAAAGAAAAAGAACUGCGCCAGCUUCGUCUUGCUGUGAGAGAGCGAGAUCAUGACUUAGAGAGACUGCGCGGCGUCCUCUCCUCCAAUGAAGCUACUAUGCAAAGUAUGGAGAGUCUCCUGAGGGCCAAAGGCCUGGAAGUGGAACAG